ACGGAGGGUGCAAGCGUUGUCCGGAUUUAUUGGGUUUAAAGGGUGCGUAGGCGGUAUUGUAAGUCAGUGGUGAAAUCUUGCGGCUUAACCGUAAAAUUGCCAUAGAUACUGCAGUACUUGAGUCCGUUUGAGGUGGUUGGAAUGCGUAGUGUAGCGGUGAAAUGCAUAGAUAUUACGCAGAACACCUAUUGCGAAGGCAGAUCACUAAGACGGAACUGACGCUGAGGCACGAAAGCGUGGGGAGCGAACAGG
RNAcentral lists this ribosomal RNA (252 nucleotides) under uncultured bacterium. Its description in RNAcentral is "partial 16S ribosomal RNA". It matches the Rfam family "Bacterial small subunit ribosomal RNA", at positions 525 to 776 of the family's 1533-position model. The record is from RNAcentral.